GAUGAACGCUGGCGGCGUGCCUAAUACAUGCAAGUCGAGCGAACAGACGAGGAGCUUGCUCCUCUGACGUUAGCGGCGGACGGGUGAGUAACACGUGGAUAACCUACCUAUAAGACUGGGAUAACUACGGGAAACCGGAGCUAAUACCGGAUAAUAUAUUGAACCGCAUGGUUCAAUAGUGAAAGACGGUUUUGCUGUCACUUAUAGAUGGAUUCGCGCCGCAUUAGCUAGUUGGUAAGGUAACGGCUUACCAAGGCAACGAUGCGUAGCCGACCUGAGAGGGUGAUCUGCCACACUGGAACUGAGACACGGUCCAGACUCCUACGGGAGGCAGCAGUAGGGAAUCUUCCGCAAUGGGCGAAAGCCUGACGGAGCAACGCCGCGUGAGUGAUGAAGGUCUUCGGAUCGUAAAACUCUGUUAUUAGGGAAGAACAAAUGUGUAAGUAACUAUGCACGUCUUGACGGUACCUAAUCAGAAGGCCACGGCUAACUACGUG
This 497-nucleotide ribosomal RNA is filed under the name uncultured bacterium. RNAcentral's name for it is "partial 16S ribosomal RNA". It matches the Rfam family "Bacterial small subunit ribosomal RNA", at positions 28 to 507 of the family's 1533-position model. The record is from RNAcentral.